CGAUGACUUCUUUAGCCACCCCAAUAAGAAACGGAGUAUAACAAAAACAAGAAGCACACAGCAUAAGAAGAGCAGAACCACCCAAAAGAAAGAAAAGAGAAAAAAAUAACAUCAAAUCCAUGAAAACAUAAGGCUUAGAGCACUCGCAGUCGGAGAAAUAUCAAAAAACAAUUAUAUAUUAAUUAAGGUGAUACAUGAGGCAUGAAAAUACUAGGAUUUGGAGUAGAGAAUUCGAGGAACUCAGGGUUACGCUCUACCACAGACAUUAUUUUUUCAUUUAAGGUCAUCCACACCUCAAUUUCAUUGUUUCGUCCAGUCUGUUUGAAGAAAGUAGCAUUCGCCCACCCUGAAGGGCGUCCAACUUCUCCUGUAAGACCCACCCAUAUAGGUUUUCCCCAUCCAAAAUCGACAUCAUUUAAAUCAAAGUUAAGCCAACUAGAAAAUAAAAAUAUUUCUGGGUUUCUUGAGCCUAUCCCCACCAGUUGUUUCAGCAAGGACUCAGUUAUGCCUUGAAGCCCGUUCUCACCCUGAAAAUCGUUGAGGAGAUCAUCGUUUAUAUUACUGAAAGAUUCUCUAGUUAAGCUCACCAAAUCAUUCAACUCUAUCUUGGUAUCAGCCAACUCACAGGCUGUCAGUGAACGCCACCAUAGGUUUCCAAUAGAGUAUCUUGAAAAGCUAGGUUUUGUUCUUUGUCUUAUAUUCACUGCAUGUAGAGAGACAGACGGCCUUGGCAGAGCGCAUAACGACCUACAAGCUUCUGUGCAGGAUUUCCAAAUAAAGGCAGUCAGUGUUUCAGUGCGAGAUGGAUUCGGCACGCGUUUGCUUUUAGCCUUAGCCCUUAGAGUGGCAAUGGCAUCGGCAUCAAAAACGAAUCUCUUGGUGACAUUUCCUUCUUUGAACAAAUAGUUUUCCGCCACCCACAAAGGAAAUUGAACUAAGAAUUUAUUUUGCGGAGGAAAUCGGGAUGACGCCUCAAAAAGAGCAGGAUUUAUUUGCUCAAGGUAAUGACCUCGUGUGUUGGCUGCCCAGCUGUCGAGGAACGCAAUCGCCGUAGCUACAUCGAUGAUCUUGUGUGAAAAGCAGAGACCGAGUGCCGUCCCACCACAAUCAAAUGUGUUAACUUGUAUGGCUACUUGAGGUGUUGCUUCUGGAUCUGAUUGAUAGCCGAAUGGUUGGCAUGGAAGAAAUUUAUUCAGCAAAUUUAGCUGAGGUUGUAUAAGAAAAUCGAACAAACUCCCCUUCACUCGGGUUUCAACAAAUGGAGCACCCUUCUCGUAGUUGUCUAUAAUAGAGUUGUUUCUCACCCUCCCAGAAAAAGGGUAAAAGGUGGAUAGUGUUUGGGACAGUGAUCUCUUUAGUUGAAUUGAGAUUUGUAAACCUUUGAAAUCUUGAUUGUUAUUUCUUGGGUAGAAGAAAACCAUCGGAACAUAAGUUGUGGGUAAAAGCUGAUCCAAAAGGGACAGCUUGAACGGUAAGAGGUGAUGGAUGGAUGGCGAAGAGGGUUUGAUGAGCUCUCUUGAAAUGAUACUGACGUCCAUAUUGAAGAAGACGACUUAAACAAAAGCAGAUAUUCUAAUGCAUAAAGAGAUGUUCUUGAUGCGGUUUCUUUCUACUGCAUGAGAGCGUCUUAUAUAGGCUUCGUCAACCACUAUCCAAAACCAGAUUUUUGUUCUUCAAUGGGACAAAAGUUGAUUCAAUCUAUCCAUCACUUUGGACUUAAACCACAGGUGCUCGAGUCUUGGACUUUGANNNNNNNNNNNNNNNNNNNNNNNNNNNNNNNNNNNNNNNNNNNNNNNNNNNNNNNNNNNNNNNNNNNNNNNNNNNNNNNNNNNNNNNNNNNNNNNNNNNNNNNNNNNNNNNNNNNNNNNNNNNNNNNNNNNNNNNNNNNNNNNNNNNNNNNNNNNNNNNNUUCUCCAAUCCUUAAUUCUCUACUGUUGCAUUAUCAUCAAGGCUAGAAAUUAAGCUUUUUUUUUUCUCAACACAAUAAACAAGUAUAUGUGAUGAAUAUUUUAAAGUAUUUUUUUUAUUUUUCUUCUUUGCUUCAAUUUAUUAAUAAUGUAUUUUUAUUUUUUUCAUAACACACAUAAUUCAACUUUGAAAUUAAGCACGUCAUUAAGGUAAAAAAUUUUCAUUCCUUACACCUAUAUUUGUUUUUGUAUUAUUUUUUCAUUUUUUUAUUUUUGUUUUUGUCUAUAUUGAAAUAAUGUUUCUGGUUUUGUUAAAUUUUAAUUGUCAUCAUCAAAUUUGUUGUUCAAUGUCAAUUUAAUAUAUAGGAUUAAAUUUAAUUAUAAAAAAUUCUUGUCAAUUUAGAAUUAAAAAUAUUAUUACGUAGAAAAUAAGAAUUUUCUACAAAAUUGAAUUAUUUAAAAUUGUUGGUAAAAAUAAAAUAAAAUCAUUUGGUUUGAGGCAUGAAUGCUAUCUAUUUGUACGAUUAAAAAUUUUGGGUUGUUCCUGUAUAGAGGAGGUGCUGCCGAAUUAUUUUUUUUAAAUUGAAAUUAUUUAUUUAUUUUUUGUAAAUUUAUAUAGAUGUGCAGGGAAAAAUUAAUUGGACGUUGUGAGUACACGUAGUUAGUUCUUCUAACAAUAAUGAUGACAACAAUGUAUUGUUAAAUGUCAACUAAAGAAAAAGCACCUGAAACACAUGCGUCCACUUAUAACUUUCCGACAGAUCAAAAGUUACUAACGAGAUUUUUUCUAACGGAAGUUUCCAUUAUAAUAAAGGAACAGAAAAGGUAGCUAACCUAACCAGAAAAGACUUUCUACAGAAGAGUUAAAGAAUCACAAAAAGAAAUCCUGGGAGAAAACGAAGCACAGACAAGAAUCAAUGGUUUAGCAGAGCCAUUCAGGGUAGCGUAGGAGCAAGGCGGUGGAAGGUUUUGUUGGGCAACCACUAGUGAAUCAUAAAAUGUCAACGGUUAAUUUCUUGAAUCUUGACUUGAUAAUAAAUUAACAAGUGCAAACUCUGGAUCUUCGCUUAUUAUGGCCCAGUGGACCUCUCCAUCAAAAGAUUAAUAAUAUUCAAAACUUGGUAUACCUUCCACUAAUCAUAAUUUUAGGAUUUCAGAUUUCUAAAUAUAAUAAGAAAAAAAGUUUGGAUUUGGAGUUAGUAUCUAAGGGUUUAUUUAGAAAGAGAAUAAUACUUUAGUUAAAAAAAAAACUAGAGUCAGAAAAAUGAAAACAAAAAUUUAUUGUUCAAAUGCAAUACUUUUAUAUAAAAGAAGAAAAAAAACCUUAGAGGUGGUCCUCUACAGUUUUUCAAGAAAAAAAAUGAAUAAUAUACAUUUUCUUCUUUUAUAUACAAGCAUUUUUUAGCAAUAUAAAAUAUUAAAACUAUUCUUUUAAUAUUUUAAUAUUUAGUUAGUGUCAUAAAUUUGAGUUUUAUUGUAAAUAUAAUAUAAAUAUUUUUGUUUGAGUUAAUAAUAUAAUUUUUUAUGAUAAUUUUUAAUUUAAAAAAAUAAAAAUAAUAUUCUAUAAUUAGAUUAUCACAAAUAAAAAAAAUAUUAAGAUUUUAACUUGGAUCUUUUUUGUCGGACCUUCUUUUGGAGAUCUAAUUUAUUUUUUUCCCUUUGAUUUUAUGUCACGUGUUGCUGGUUAGUUGAGUUAAUCCAGGUUGACUUGAAUAUCUUUUCCUUGAUUUUUUUAUGAUAUUUUUUUCAAUUUCAACAUUUUACAUUAAGUUAUUUACCAUUGAGCUUUGUCAUUUUUCACUUUUUUUACUUUUUAGUUAUUCCGAGAGUGGGUUAGUAAAGUUAACCCGAAUUGGCUCGGGGUUUCUUUUACUUUUUUUUAUUGAACUUUGAUUUUUUUACCAAGUCAUCCUUUUAAUUUUUUUUUAUUCCGAUCUCAUAUCACCUGUUGUUGGUUCAUCAAAUUACCCUGAGCUGACUCGGGUUUUCUUCCUCUUUUUUUAAGGUUGUUUUUUGUUUUCAUCUUUGACAUUAAGUUUGUCAUAACUCAAUUUUUGACCAUUUUAUUUUAAUAAUUAUUAUUAUUUUAUUAAGAUGAUACAUGAAAAAUUUGAUGAAAUAAUAAUAAUAAUAAUGAUGGAAAAACAAGUAAAAUAAAAUAAAUGAAGAAUGAAUUAAAAUUUGGGUUAAGGGCAAAAUGAUUGGAAGUUUUGGGGUUUAAUUAAACUUUGAAAUUAAUCUAAUUAAGUUUGGAAUUAAUUUAAUUAAUCCAAUUAAGGGUUUAAUUGGAGAAUUGAUAAAUUUGUAGACUUGAUUGAGCUUGAAAUUAAUUUAAUUAAUUCAAGUAAGGGUUUAAUUGGAGAAUUGAUAAAUUUUUAGACUUAAUUAAGCUUGAAAUUAAUUUAAUUCAUCCAAUCAAGGGUUUAAUUGGAGAAUUGAUAAGUUUUGAGACUUAAUUAAGCUUGAAAUUAAUUUAAUUAAUCCAAUCAGGAGUUUAAUUGGAGAAUUGAUAAGGUUUAGACUUAAUUGGACUUUGGAUUUAAUUAAAUUAAUGAAAUCAGGGACUUAAUUGAAGAAAUAGCAAAGUUUGGGGUUAAUUGGGGACACGAUUGCAGCAGAUUAAAGUCCAAGGACUAACUUGUAAAGGCGCCGAAAUGCAGGGAAAAUUACGGUUUAAACCAGGGGCUUAAUGAUAAAAGUUUCGAAACUUUACGGGUCAAAGUGAAAAUGGCCACUGUUUAUCUCCAAACGGUGUCGUUUUGAAGACGUUGUUCAUCUUCUUCUCCUUUAAGCCAGUGACCGUUUCUGCAGUAAUGGAGGGAGAAACAUUGCAGCAGUAAUCGUCGUCAGUUGGCUUCAGUUAUGGGCGUCUUAAUGGUGGCCGACCCUCAGCCUACCGCCCGUUAUCAACCCGCCGAGCCCUAUAUAAACCGAGCAGCACCGAAGAGCAGGGGUUGGUUAGAGAGAGAGAGAGACGAAAGAAACCGAAAAGAAGAGAAACACAAGCAAAGCACACAAUUUUUAGGUUCAUCUCCAGAACUCCCAUACCAGAAAUAGGCUUCCCUCACCAGUUCUGACUUAAGAAAAACGAGAGAGAAAACUGGCCGAGAGAGAGAGAGACGGUGUUCUGAAAACAGAGCAUAAAGACGAAGAAAAACAAGCUGAAAUAGAGACACAGGAAAGGAAUACAACAGGGAACACAAGCAGAAGGAAGUAAGAGGAAACUCGAAGCAGAAACGUCGCCCUCAGCAAUCUCGCGCAAACUCCCUGUAAACGAACCAGGUAAGUCUUCUGCUCUGUUUUUUUUUCCCCGCGUUUCAUUAAUUCAUCUUCGCCGCCUGUCUUGAUUUAAAACUAAAGGCCCGGCACGCGUGAUUUGGAUCACGCGUGCCUCAUGUGGCCCAGCCGGGUCACUGGCUUAGGCCAAUGACCGGGCUGGGCUGGCUGGGUCUAGCCCAGCCCAUGUGGGCUGAUCUGGGCCCAGCCCAAAAAACAUAAAUAUAAAAAAUAAAAAAAUAAAAAAUAGAAAAAUAAAAAAAUAUGUGUAUGCAUGAAUAAAAAUAAUAUAAAUUUACUAGUUUAUUCACCAACGCCAGAGUCGGGAAUAAAAUACUGGUUUAAAUUUAUAUUAUUUUUAUUCGUUAUAUUUUAUUUUAUUUAGCAAAAAAUAUAUGUGCAUGUAUGAAAAAUAAAAUUUUUUAUUUAUUUUUUAUUUUAUUUUAUUGAUUUAUUCUAUGACGCCAGAGUCGGGAAUAAAAACACUGAUUUAAUUUUUUUUAUUAUUAUUUAACUAUAUAGAAAAAAAUAUGUGAACGCGUAAUAAAAUUAAUUUAGUUUAUUUGUUUAUUCAUUAGCGUUAGAGUUAGGAAUAAAAAAUAUUGAUCUAAAUUUAUUUUAUAGUUACGUAAUAGUUACCAACGCCAGAGUUGAAAUUAUCCGUAGUUGAAUAUUCACUGACGCUAGAGUUAGGAAUAUUGCGAAUAAACCACUAGAGCGUAAACAAGUAAAAUUUAGCAAUUUAAGACAAAAACAGCAAUACAGUUUGCCUUAGGCAGAACGUUUAAGAGGUGCUAAUAUCUUCCCUUUUACGUAACCAGUCCCGAACCAUAGAAUCUCUAUUGACCAGUUAGGGUUUUUAGUGACCAUAAUACUAGGUGACGACUCCUCAAACAAGACAUUUUUUCUAAAAGAACAAGAUGCCAGAAAUCCGUUCUUUUUCCAUAAUUAGAGAUUUAUUUUUAGAGCCGCCGCGAUGUCGGGUGCGACAAAGUUAUUAAACUUUAAAUUUUGUAAUUUUCUUUCAAUUUUUUGUGUGAAUUCUUUUGGUUUUAUAUCCCUAACUGUAUUUUAGUUAAUUUAACUCGAAUUAUUUGAUUUUAUUGUCCCUUCGAAUAUUUUUUUAAACGUUGAAAAAAGUUGGAUCCGCCUACUAGUAUCGGAGAACAGCUAUAUAGUAAUUGGCUAUUUUGGAUCCUAGAGCAAAAAAUUCAGAUUCAAGUGAAGAGAAAUGGGGAUGACAAAAAGCUUCCCCACACAUGAUCGAUCCAUUAUUUAUCAUGAGGAACGUGAAAUUAAAACUCUACUGUCCUGGAAACCUAAAAAUUUCAGCGACCACAAAAGGCCUAUCUGCAGCCUUAUAGAAUAUGUGACCACAAGAAAAUAUGACAAAAAACAGCAGAGCAUAAGAAGAGCAGAACCACCCAAAAGAAAGAAAAGAACAAAAAAUAACAUCAAAUCCAUGAAAACAUAAGGCUUAGAGCACUCGCAGUCGGAGAAAUAUCAAAAAACAAUUACAUAUUAAUUAAGAUGAUACAUGAGGCAUGAAAAUACUAGGAUUUGGAGUAGAGAAUUCGAGGAACUCAGGGUUACGCUCUACCACAGACAUUAUUUUUUCAUUUAAGGUCAUCCACACCUCAAUUUCAUUGUUUCGUCCAGUCUGUUUGAAGAAAGUAGCAUUCGCCCACCCUGAAGGGCGUCCAACUUCUCCUGUAAGACCCACCCAUAUAGGUUUUCCCCAUCCAAAAUCGACAUCAUUUAAAUCAAAGUUAAGCCAACUAGAAAAUAAAAAUAUUUCUGGGUUUCUUGAGCCUAUCCCCACCAGUUGUUUCAGCAAGGACUCAGUUAUGCCUUGAAGCCCGUUCUCACCCUGAAAAUCGUUGAGGAGAUCAUCGUUUAUAUUAGUGAAAGAUUCUCUAGUUAAGCUCACCAAAUCAUUCAACUCUAUCUUGGUAUCAGCCAACUCACAGGCUGUCAGUGAACGCCACCAUAGGUUUCCAAUAGAGUAUCUUGAAAAGCUAGGUUUUGUUCUUUGUCUUAUAUUCACUGCAUGUAGAGAGACAGACGGCCUUGGCAGAGCGCAUAACGACCUACAAGCUUCCGUGCAGGAUUUCCAAAUAAAGGCAGUCAGUGUUUCAGUGCGAGAUGGAUUCGGCACGCGUUUGCUUUUAGCCUUAGCCCUUAGAGUGGCAAUGGCAUCGGCAUCAAAAACGAAUCUCUUGGUGACAUUUCCUUCUUUGAACAAAUAGUUUUCCGCCACCCACAAAGGAAAUUGAACUAAGAAUUUAUUUUGCGGAGGAAAUCGGGAUGACGCCUCAAAAAGAGCAGGAUUUAUUUGCUCAAGGUAAUGACCUCGUGUGUUGGCUGCCCAGCUGUCGAGGAACGCAAUCGCCGUAGCUACAUCGAUGAUCUUGUGUGAAAAGCAGAGACCGAGUGCCGUCCCACCACAGUCAAAUGUGUUAACUUGUAUGGCUACUUGCGGUGUUGCUUCUGGAUCUGAUUGAUAGCCGAAUGGUUGGCAUGGAAGAAAUUUAUUCAGCAAAUUUAGCUGAGGUUGUAUAAGAAAAUCGAACAAACUCCCCUUCACUCGGGUUUCAACAAAUGGAGCACCCUUCUCGUAGUUGUCUAUAAUAGAGUUGUUUCUCACCCUCCCAGAAAAAGGGUAAAAGGUGGAUAGUGUUUGGGACAGUGAUCUCUUUAGUUGAAUUGAGAUUUGUAAACCUUUGAAAUCUUGAUUGUUAUUUCUUGGGUAGAAGAAAACCAUCGGAACAUAAGUUGUGGGUAAAAGCUGAUCCAAAAGGGACAGCUUGAACGGUAAGAGGUGAUGGAUGGAUGGCGAAGAGGGUUUGAUGAGCUCUCUUGAAAUGAUACUGACGUCCAUAUUGAAGAAGACGACUUAAACAAAAGCAGAUAUUCUAAUGCAUAAAGAGAUGUUCUUGAUGUGGUUUCUUUCUACUGCAUGAGAGCGUCUAAAAGUUGAUUCAAUCUAUCCAUCACUUUGGACUUUGGACUUAAACCACAGGUGCUCGAUCUGCCCCGCUCAACUUGGCAUGGCCACCAGGCCAUGAAUCUUGGAUUUUGAAAUGGUAAAGUUUUGGGUUUCAAUUUAUUUUUUUGUUAUUAGCUUAUUUUAUACUUAGAUUUAAAUUUAUUAUAAAAUAAUUUUUUUAGCUCAAAAAUAAAUUUAGGUCUUUUAAUAAAUUUUAUUUAUCAUUACUAAAUUAAUCGAGGAUAAAUAAAUUAUUUUUCAUUUUAGAUGUAUAAUCAAACAAUCAAAACAUUUUUAAAAACAAAAAAAAAUUAAAAUUAGUAAGGAAAAUAUCUUAUUUUUAUGGUUUUUUUUUUGUUAUUAUUAAUUCAAGCUGAGGGUAACUUGACAUUUGACUAAAUAUAUAAAAAAACAAUGCACGGUCAAAAGAAAAGAAAAUUAUAAAACUAGUGUCCCGGGACUUUUUCAUCUUUUCGUAAUAUUUGAUUGAAAGAAAGACCAUGGAAGAUCAAAAUAGAAAGUUGGUGGGGCAGGCAGCAACCUAGCAUGCCAUUAGAUAACUGUUUACAUGACAAUAAAAUCUUGAACAAUUUAGACUCAAGAGUGAGAGGCAGAGCGAAAAACAGAGUGAAUUGUGCCAGUUUGGACACCUUUCCUCCUUCACUAGUAUUCAAUAACGCCAUUCUACUGAUUCCCACCAUUUUUUUGGAUAUGCCUUGACUUUGAUUUUUUGAAGACAAGGAAGGGUAAGCGAGAUCGGUAUUCUCUUUAGCUUCAGACAGUCAACUGCAUUGAUUUCUUCAAGGGAACUACAGAUCAUUACAUCAUUACAAAUGAUUUGCAGUUCUGGUAAGCAUAUCAAUGUCAAAAGCUUCAACUUUGGGAGACUGAUGUCAGUGCUGCUAACAGCAGAAGUGUUGCUUAUACUAAAACUGCUUUCUUCACUCAUGAUUCUUCCUCCUCCUUCUGCUAUCAUCGUCUCCAUUUUGUUGCAAUUUACGACUUCAAUCACUUCCAGGUUUUGUAGGUUUGGCAGCACGCCAGCAGGGAACAGCUCCUUCAUACUUGGACACCCGAAUAUCUUUUUUUUUGGAUUCAAGGAAACCCCACCUCCCGGAAAGCGCACUUUGUGGGCCCAGGUGAGCGAGUAAAACCCCGGCUGUUCCAGGCUCUUACAAGAGGUGCACGCCCUGACUUGAACUCGAGACCUGCUGUGCAGAUUUCAAACCUUUUACCAUCACGCUACGCCCCUUGAAUGGAAAUAGAGGUGGAGGAGCUCUUUGUCUGCUAAAGAGGCCACACAAGUUUUCAAACUGCUAAGACAUAGAGUCUCAAGGCUUUGGAGUGUAUCGGCGGAGAUCCUGGACAACGAAAGCAAGCACGCUAUUCCAUUACAAUCCCAAAUUACCAAGGAUUUUAGUUUUAUUGCAUGUUUCAUUGAAGAAACAGCACAUAAGCUCGUCAUGUCGUGGCAUUGCACAAUUUCCAGGGCUUGAAUGGUUUUUGGAAGUGUCACAAAAUCUGCUUCUCUGUUGAUACUACAGUUACACAACCGCACUGUAUUAUUUAACUCCGUCUUGUGUAUUCCAGAAAGAGAAGGAACCGCAGGUCCUACUAUAAAAUAGUAAGCUCUCGGUGGCUGUGUAUCUUCCCAAGACUUGACAUACUUGCUAAAGUCAAUGAGAUCACAAAAAUUGCAUUCCAAAGCUUCCAACCUCUUCAAGCAUGCUACUUCCUCUCCUUUAAGUGUCACCUGAGUUUCCGAUGACAAGAGAACUCCGAGAACUUGCAGACGGCAGAGUUUAGGUAUUAUCCCAGCAGACAACUGUUUUAGUCUAGUAUGACUGAGGUCAAGAUACCUAAGAUUGGACAACAAUUUCAUGCCUUCAGGCAAUUCUUCAAGUUGUGUGUAAACCAGGUCCAACUUCUUCAAUGCUGUAAGCUUUGCUAAUGUUGGUACAUGCCUCAGCUGUUGACACCUCCUGAGUAAUAAUGAAGUUAGGCACACCAGAUUAGAUAUGGAGCCUGGCAAACUUUUAAUACCUGUAUUAGAAAGAUCAAGAACUGCGAGUCCAUUCAAUUGUGUGAAAAAAGAACCUUCAAUCGACCGCAGCAUGUAAUUCUGAGAUAACAAUAAUGUAGAAAGAUUGGGACAUCUUGGUGAAUAGCUAGCUGGAAUUUCAGUUAAGUAAUUUUUCAUUAAGGAAACCCGCACUAGAUCCUCUGUCCAUUUCUCUAUGUCCGGUAAUUUCUCUAACUAUCCACCAGAUUCAACCAUGGCUUGAGAGUUCACUUUCUGUAUUUUGAUGGCCAUAUCCCUAACCAAGGUAUUCAUUCGGACGCAUCUAUAACCUUCCCGUGUACAACUUUCUAUUAAGCAGGCAUUUUCAAGUUUAUUAAGCAUGGCAUGGCCCUUAUCAGAUUCUGCUUGUCUGCUCUUCCUUUUUGCAACGAUUCCCUCGACGAUCAUAUACUCUACUAAGUCCUCUCUACUGAUUCCGGAAUCUACAGGAAACAAUGCACAGUAUAAGAAAGCUUGUUGCAAAGCUGAAUCGUUCAAGUUCAUAUAACUGAACUCUAUUAUCUUGAAUAUAUCAGCCUCCAUGUCACCCUUCCCAAUUUUUGACUCUUUUAAUGUCUCCAACGCAUUCCUCCACUGACCUAUAUCAUCCACUUGCCUCAUGCUUCCUGCCAUUGUUAUUAUCCAAAGUAGCAAACCAGUACAUUCCUUUGCAACAGAUUUUGCAAUCUCUAUAACUUCUGAAGGAAGUUCAACAUUAAUGCCAAGUUUCUCCAUAAACAAAGUCCAGGCUUCAUCCUCGCUAAGUGGCUCCACUUUUAUUUUCUCCUGGCAGCACAUCUGUCUACAAACUCUUAAUGAUCUACUUGUCAGAAUCAACUUGCAUCCAUCGACUCCAACAGGUACGCCCACCUUCUCUGGAGAAAAAUGAUUCCACAAAUCAUCUAGAAUGAGAACAAAUUUCUUUUUCGCAAUCAAUCCAUUUGACAAUUUCACAGCUCUUUUCUUCUCAUCCUCGUCAUUUGAAAGAUCUAAAUCAACAGCUUUGGCGAUGAGAUUCUGCAAUUUAUAAAUGCUGAAAUCUUGCGUUACAGUAAUCCAAAAAACAUUCUGGAAAGAGCUUGGUCUUUGUAGAAGCUGAUCAUUGAUAUGUCUCAACAAUGACGUUUUGCCAACACCGCCUAUCCCGUAAAUACCAAUACUUAAGACAUCAUCCUUCAUUAACCACGACCAGAUCUCACUUACAUUUCUUUCAAAAGCACGACCCACUAGCUCUGUUGUCUGAAAUGCUUUUCCUUUAGCUGGAUGUGCUUCACUCACUUCAGGAGCUCUACCUUGAUCGAUAAUCACAAUCUCUCCUCCAAUCAUACUGUCUACCCAAUUUCCUAUUUCUAUACCUGAAAGAUUUCCAUAUGCUAACGCCAAGCCCUUUAAUUCCUGAUAAAUGUGAUUUAAUCCUAGUAACUGAAGUGCGCGCUGCAAAUUCAAACUCACAAAACUUACAGGCGAAACCAUUAUUUUUCUUCUCAACAUAAUUCCAAAAUCCAUCAACCAUUUUCUUUUUCUUAGGCCCUGCAUCCACAAAAAUGAUUACAGUAAUUGAUAACAGAAAGAAAAUACUUUUAAAAAACCAGCAAUCUAGCUAAGACCACAUAAUUUGGCAAAUUCUUAACUUAUCUUCUCCAAACUAAUUAAUUUUAGAAUUUUGUUUAUCAAUUUUUAUAAGUUGAGAUACAUAUAUGAAUUGCACGAUUUUGGCUCAAUGAUAUUCUUUAACUGGCAAAUGAAAGUAAAAAAAAAACUGGGAUAGUAGACUUGUCGUAAAUAAAUACAUGGGGAUAAUGUGUUUUAAAUCAUCAACUAAUCAAAUCAAGAUCAAAAAUAAUUUAGGGUCCUUGGGAUUAGUCGAGGUGCGUGCAAACUGACCCGGACACCCACGUUAAACUAAAAAAAAAAAAAAAGAACAAAAAUCUUUAACCAUCUAGGUGGUGGCCAGUGGUAAGAGCUUGGAACAAAGAGGUUUGCUCCCUCUGUGGUCUCAGGUUCGAACCCUGUGGUUGCUCAUAUGAUGGCCACUGGAAACUUACAUAGUCGUUAAUUUCAGGGCCCGUGGGAUUAGUCGAGGUGCGCGCAAGCUGGCCCGGACACCCACAUUAAACUAAAAAAAAAAAAGAACAAAAAUCUUUUACCACUACAAGUAAAAUGAACCUGUAUGAAUGGAAUGACAAACCAUUAUAAUAAAGGAACAGAAAAGGUAGCUAACCUGACCAGAAAAGACUUUCUACGGAAGAGUUAAAGAAUCACAAAAAGAAAUCCUGGGAGAAAACGAAGCGCAGACGAGAAUCAAUUGUUUAGCAGAGCCAUUCAGGGUAGCGUAGGAGAUAGGCGGUGGAAGGUUUUGUUGGGCAAACACUAGUGAAUUAUAAAAUGUCAACGGUUAAUUUCUUGAAUCUUGACUUGAUAAUAAAUUAACAAGUGCAAACUCUGGAUCUUCGCUUAUUAUGGCCCAGUGGACCUCUCCAUCAAAAGAUUAAAAAUAUUCAAAACUUGGUAUACCUUCCACUAAUCAUAAUUUUAGGAUUUCAGAUUCUAAAAAUAAGAAGAAAAAAAGUUUGGAGUUGGAGUUAGUAUCUAAGGGUUUAUUUAGAAAGAGAAUAAUACUUUAGUUUUUUAAAAAAACUAGAGUCUGAAAAAUGAAAAACAAAAUUAUUGUUCAAAUGCAAUAUUUUUAUAUAAAAAAAACUGAAACUAAUUUUUCAAAUUUAUAAUGAGUUUGGAAGGAAAAAAAAACCUAGAGGUCCUCUACAGUUUUUCCAGAAAAUAAUGAAUAAUAUACAUUUUUUUUCUUUUAUAUACAAGCAUUUUUUAGCAAUAUAAAAAAUUAAAAUUAUUCUUUUAAUAUUUUUAUAUUUAGUUACUAUCAUAAAUUUGAGUUUUAUUGUAAAUAUAAUAUAAAUAUUUUUUUGAGUUAAUAAUAUAAUUUUUUAUGAUAAUUUUUAAUUUUUUUUAAAAUAAAAAUAAUAUUCUAUGAAAAAAGAAGUACCAAUAAACAACACAAAAAAAAAAAUACCAACUUCAAACACUUUGUAAUAUUUGUAUUGUCUGAUUUGAUUCAACUUGUUAAAGUCAAUUAAUAUAAAUAUUACAUAUAAAUGGAUAUCACAUGUUGAGAUUUUUUAAAUUUAAUCAACCUACCUAACCCAUAUAACUUAUACAGCCCUACUAAUAAUGUACCUUAUAUUUUAGAAAGUUCAUGGUAUAAAUACUUUAUUUCUCUCUCUCUCCCUCCCUCUCCAUCUCAACUCAACCUUUUAUUCUCUUAUCUCCUUAUAUGUUAUAUUUGAAGUUUUUUUUUUUUAACAAUUUAUUCUUCUAUUUUAGUCAAUUGUUUCAUUUGAUGUAAUAAGCCUAAAGUAUUUUUUAUAACUUAUAACAUGUUUUUGGAUAAUUUAUUGAGCUUAAAUUUUAGUUUUAAUUAAGCUCUACCAAAGAAAAUUAGCAAGCCUAACUUGUGGAUGUCUAUGAUAUCUACACAAAAAUUAGUCUGGCCUGAUAUAUCUAAAAAUAAAUCGGUGAACUUUAUAAUUUGUAAGAUAUUAGAAGUUACAUUGGAUAUAAUUAACUCAAACCCGACCCAAGUAUAUCCAUGACACCCCUAGUUAUGACAUAGCACAGGUAUAUUAACUAGCCUGUAUAGUACUGCACAACAAAUAAUUUACAAUUUUCUCAUCGUUACAAAAAAAAAAAAAAAAAACUUAAGUGAGCUCAGUCUUUUACUGUGGCCCAGAUAUAAAAGGAUAUGGAUUGAAACAAUGUAAAUAUAAUUUUGCCCUUACCAAAAACUAAUUAAGCUUGCAAAUUGGGGUAAAAAUGUAUUUUUCAUGGGAUACAUUUGUCAUUGUAAAAUUGAUUAGGGACAAAAUAGUCUGGACAUGUUUUUUUUUUUUUGUUAUAGUGUAAUGAUUGUUUUUCCCUCAAAAGCGAAAAAAAUAUCUUUGAGUAAAGGGCUCUUUUAUCUUUUUCAAAAAAAUAAACAUAUAAGUUACGAUCAUGCUCUUAGAAGAGAAAGAAAUAUACAUGCAUAAACGAGUUUCACCAACUUUUCCUUUUUUAAAAAAAUGGUGGACUUUCCCUUGCAUUUAAAAAAAAAACAAAGGUUAUUUGCAGGGGUGUUUUGUUUUUUUUCAACUAGUUUUGUUGUUAUUUUUAGGUUUUUGUCAAGGACAGCUUGACAGUUUUUAAAUAUUAUAUAAAAAAAUUUAGUAUGGCCUCCAUGUCAUUCAAGUGGCACAUGAGGGAACGUACAGUGGCCAAAGUCCUGCUUUCAUCGCGACAUUGGGAGCGACGCGUUAUUCUUUUUCUAUCAAUGUGGCGCAUGCUCACGGAGGAGAUUCGGUUGGGUCGCGGUGAAUGUUUUUUCUUUCUUCUUUCUUUUCUCUCUCAUUUCCUGGAAAGACACACCUAAACUUCCAAAAAAAAAAAACAAUUGUAUACUCUGGUUUGUAAUCUUAUAAAUUUUGAUCCUCCUUUUAAUUAUUGUUUUAUUUGGCUUUUGAUGCUUUUUGAAGUUUGAAUUUAUUUCAAUUUUAUCCUUGGGUAUUUUUUCAAUUUGAUUUUCUUAUCGGAUUUGGGUCCCUCUACUUUUAAUUGCUCUAUUUAUGUGCUUUAUAUUUUUCUUAUUUAUUUUUUUUUUAAUUUUUUCCCUUUUAAUUUUAUUGCAUUUUUUAAUUCAUUGAAGGCUUACAUGAUUGUUAAUUUCAAGACUUAUAGUUUUAGUUGAAAUGCGUGUAAACUGACCCGGACACCCACAUUAAUAAUAAUAAAAAAAAGAGCAGAACCACCCAAAAGGAAAAAAAAAAAAAAAGAGAAAAAAAGAACAUCAAAUCCAUGAAAACAUAAGGCAUAGAGCACUCGCAGUCGGAGAAAUAUUUAAAAACAAUUACAUAUUAAUUAAGAUGAUAAAUGAGGCAUGAAAAUACUAGGAUUUGGAGUAGAGAAUUCGAGGAACUCAGGGUUACGCUCUACCGCAGACAUUAUUUUUUCAUUUAAGGUCAUCCACGCCUCAAUUUCAUUGUUUCGUCCAGUCUGUUUGAAGAAAGUAAUAUUUGCAAAACCUGAAGGGCGUCCAACUUCUCCUGUAAGACCCACCCAUAUAGGUUUUCCCCAUCCAAAAUCGACAUCAUUUAAAUCAAAGUUAAGCCAGCUAGAAAACAUAAAUAUUUCUGGGUUUCUCGAGACUAUCCCCACCAGUUGUUUCAGCAAUGACACAGUUAUGCCUUGAAACCCGUUCUCACCCUGGAAAUCCUUGAGGCGAUCAUCGUUUAUAUUAGCGAAAGAUUCUCUAGUUAAGCUCACCAAAUCAUUCAACUCUAUCUUGGUAUCAGCCAACUCACAGGCUGUCAUUGAACGCCACCAUAGGUUUCCAAUAGAGUAUCUUGAAAAGCUAGGUUCUGUUCUUUGUCUUAUAUUCACUGCAUGUAGAGAGACAGACGGCCUUGGCAGAUCGCGCAACGACCUACAAGCUUCUGUGCAGGAUUUCCAAAUAAAGGCAGUCAGUGUUUCAGUGCGAGAUGGAUUCGGAACACGUUUGCUUUUAGCCCUAGCCCUUAGAGUGGCAACCGCAUCGGCAUCAAAAACGAAUCUCUUGGUCACAUUUCCUUCUUUGAACAAGCAGUUUUCCGUCACCCACAAAGGAACUUGAACUAAGAAUUUAUUUAGCGGAGGAAAUCGGGAUGACGCCUCAAAAAGACCAGGAUUUUUUUGCUCAUGGUAAUGACCUCGUGUGUUGGCUGCCCAGCUGUCGAGGAACGCAAUCGCCGUAGCUACAUCGAUGAUCUUGUGUGAAAAGCAGAGACCGAGUGCCGUCCCACCACAAUCAAAUGUGUUAACUUGUAUGGCUACUUGUGGUGUUGCUUCUGGAUCUGAUUGAUAGCCUAAUGGUUGGCAUGGAAGAAAUUUAUUCAGUGAAUUUAGCUGAGGUUGUAUAAGAAAAUCGAACAAACUCCCCUUCACUCGGGUUUCAACAAAUGGAGCACCCUUCUCGUAGUUGUCUAUAAGAGAGUUGUUUCUCACCCUCCCAGAUAAAGGGUAAAAGGUGGAUAGUGUUUGGGACAGUGAUCUCUUCAGUUGAAUUGAGAUUUGUAAACCUUUGAAAUCUUGGUUGUUUUUUGUUGGGUAGAAGAAAACCAUUGGAACAUAAGUUGUGGGGAAAAGCUGAUCCAAAAGGGACAGCUUGAACGGUGAAAGGUGAUGGAUGGAUGGCGAAGAGGGUUUGAUGAGCUCUCUUGAAAUGAUACUGACGUCCAUAUUGAAGAAGACGACUUAAACAAAAGCAGUGCAUAAAGAGAUGUUCUUGAUGUGGUUUCUUUCUACUGCAUGAGAGC
This 16575-nucleotide long non-coding RNA is filed under the name Populus trichocarpa (black cottonwood). RNAcentral's name for it is "long non-coding RNA (PTRI_LNC002780)". Lineage: Eukaryota; Viridiplantae; Streptophyta; Magnoliopsida; Malpighiales; Salicaceae. The record is from RNAcentral.